CGUGCAGGCGGCUGAGUAAGUCAGAUGUGAAAGCCUUCCGCUUAACGGGAGAAGUGCAUUUGAAACUACCCGGCUUGAGUUCGGGAGAGGAGAGUGGAAUUCCCGGUGUAGAGGUGAAAUUCGUAGAUAUCGGGAGGAACACCGGUGGCGAAGGCGGCUCUCUGGCCCGAUACUGACGCUGAGACGCGAAAGCGUGGGGAGCAAACAGGAUUAGAUACCCUGGUAGUCCACGCCGUAAACGAUGGGCACUAGGUGUAGGAGGUAUUGACCCCUUCUGUGCCGAAGCUAACGCAUUAAGUGCCCCGCCUGGGGAGUACGGCCGCAAGGCUAAA
RNAcentral lists this ribosomal RNA (332 nucleotides) under uncultured bacterium. RNAcentral describes it as "bacterial SSU rRNA". It matches the Rfam family "Bacterial small subunit ribosomal RNA", at positions 568 to 898 of the family's 1533-position model. The record is from RNAcentral.